AACUUUCAACAACGGAUCUCUUGGUUCUCGCAUCGAUGAAGAACGCAGCGAAAUGCGAUAAGUAGUGUGAAUUGCAGAAUUCAGUGAAUCAUCGAAUCUUUGAACGCACAUUGCGCCCUCUGGUAUUCCGGAGGGCAUGCCUGUCCGAGCGUCGUCA
This 157-nucleotide ribosomal RNA is filed under the name Sarcoscypha occidentalis. RNAcentral describes it as "5.8S ribosomal RNA". It matches the Rfam family "5.8S ribosomal RNA". From Rfam's summary of the family: 5.8S ribosomal RNA (5.8S rRNA) is a component of the large subunit of the eukaryotic ribosome. It is transcribed by RNA polymerase I as part of the 45S precursor that also contains 18S and 28S rRNA. Lineage: Eukaryota; Fungi; Ascomycota; Pezizomycetes; Pezizales; Sarcoscyphaceae. The record is from RNAcentral.